CCGGAAUGCUCUGUCUCCCACCUGCUGCCCUUUGCCAUUAUGAGGAGCCUGGCUGUCAUGCAGAACCUGAGGAACACGUCUCUGGGAACCGCAGCUGCUCUGUUGCAUGCGCCCUCGUCAUGGCCUACUGAGCUCAUUUCCCAAGUGACGAAAUGAGCUGCAGAGAACUGAGUACAAGAGGACCUGACCCUCGUGGACUGGGAACCAAUGAAAGUCACUGGCAAGGGCCUUUCCAGAUAGCACAGAGGAAGACGACAGCGUCAAAGCAAAACCGGGCGAACUUCUCAGCGUGCGAUGUCAUGGACUCGUUCCUUCUUGUUUUCAUCCUUCCAUUUUAUCAUUUAUUUAAUUACUGUACAUCUUUGUGCGGUAUAAUACAGACCAUGCACGCAGUGUACGAUAAUCAAAUAAG
Long non-coding RNA from Tupaia belangeri chinensis (Chinese tree shrew), 412 nucleotides. RefSeq lists it as uncharacterized. The transcript has 2 exons. Lineage: Eukaryota; Metazoa; Chordata; Mammalia; Scandentia; Tupaiidae. The record is from RefSeq and is a predicted model, not a curated record.